RNAcentral lists this non-coding RNA (492 nucleotides) under Neurospora crassa OR74A. RNAcentral describes it as "Eukaryotic small subunit ribosomal RNA". It matches the Rfam family "Eukaryotic small subunit ribosomal RNA", at positions 1 to 497 of the family's 1831-position model. Lineage: Eukaryota; Fungi; Ascomycota; Sordariomycetes; Sordariales; Sordariaceae. The record is from Rfam by way of RNAcentral.
UACUUAAUUAAUUUUAUUAGUAGUUAUAUACUUAUUUUAAAGAUUAAACUAUAUAUAUUUAAAUUUAAAUAAUUAAAUUAUAAAAUUACGAAUAGCUUAUUAAAUUAAUUAUAAUUUAUUUAAUAGUACCUUACUAUAUAAAUAACUAUAGUAAUUCUAAAGUUAAUAUAUAUUAAAAACUCUAAUUUCGGAAGGGGUAUAUUUAUUAAAUUAAAAACUAAUACCCUUUGGGGCUAAUUAGUAAUUUAUAAUAAUUUUUCGAAUUGUAUAGCUUUAUACUAGCGAUAGUUUAUUUAAAUUUCUACUCUAUUAACUUUCAAUAAUUAGGUUUUAACUAACUAUAGUAACAAUAGGUAAUGGAGGGUUAGGGCUCAACCUUAGAAAAAGAGUUUGAAAAACGGCUACUAUAUUUAAGGAAGGUAAUAAGCGUAUAAAUUACCUAAUUCCAAUAUAGGGAAGUAGUAAUAAUAAAUAUUAAUAUAGGGCUCUUUU